Lycium ferocissimum is the source of this 517-nucleotide long non-coding RNA. RefSeq lists it as uncharacterized. The transcript has 3 exons. Lineage: Eukaryota; Viridiplantae; Streptophyta; Magnoliopsida; Solanales; Solanaceae. The record is from RefSeq and is a predicted model, not a curated record.
ACAGACACAUACACGAUUUAUAUCCAAAAGCAUUUAGAUGAAGUCAUUUAAAUUCAAAAUGUAACCAUAGCAAACCACUAACUCACGGAAUAGUAUCAACACGUAUAGUGAUGAUGAUGAUGAAAGAGAUACACAUCUUUAUUUUGCUGAGUUCUUGAAAGAAAACAGGCGGAGAUUGGUGGGGACAAGCUCCCUUAGCUUGAAAGGAUGGCACCUUUAACCCAUACGGUUGAUUAUCACGGAUUUAUCAUACAUCAUUCUACUCAGUUAUACGUUGCAUCGAUCUAGUGUAUUGAAAGUAAAAAAAAAGUGAAAAACAAGUUUUGGUUGUUUUGCAAAUUCCAAAUAUAACUUCAAAUUGUAUUUGGAAUUUUUAUGGCCAAAUACCAUAAAGUGAAAAAAGUGAAAAAAAAUUCUGGAAAAAAAUGAAUAAUUCUCAUGGACAAACAGGCCCUUAGACUUGCAUGUUGCAAGAUGACCAUUUAGCAUGCAGAAGCAACUUGUUAUAAUUACAAGA